GAACUCCGCUUAUUGAUAUGCUCCUCCGCUUAUUGAGUAUGUAUCCGUCCGCUGUAUCUGAUCUGCUCCUCCGCUUAUAUAAAAAGUUMCUACGYYUAUAGUGUGGACCAACUCCGCCACUAACUGUGAGGAGCUACGUUGCCGURGGCUCCCAACACUAAGCAACUAAGGCUUAAGGGUCGAAAUGACGCUCGAACGGUCCUGCCCACUAGAAUACUAAUGGGCGCAAUAUGCGUUCAAAGAUUCGAUGAUUCACUGAAUUCUGCAAUUCACAUUACUUAUCGCAUUUCGCUGCGUUCUUCAUCGAUGCCAGAACCAAGAGAUCCGUUGUUGAAAGUUUUAACUUAUUUAGUUAUAGGUUCAGAAUUCAAUAUCAAACAGAGUUUGGUGGGCCGCCGGCAGGCUUACCCGCACCUCCCGGGUAAGUCUUACAGGGUAAGACUACGAGGUAGGCGCGACCUGCCGAGGCAACGUUAGGUAUGUUCACAUGGGUUUGGGAGUUAUAGAACUCUUUAAUGAUCCCUCCGCAGGUUCACCUACGGAAGGA
Molecule: ribosomal RNA, 547 nt
Filed under: fungal sp. SNB-GTC2603
Lineage: Eukaryota; Fungi
Description: partial large subunit ribosomal RNA
Source: RNAcentral